AUCGGCUAAGACAGGGCGGCAGCGGCAGCGGCACUGCUGACCCACUCUCAGACUUUUCCUGGUCCAGACGUUCCUGAAUAUUUCUGUGAACCCAUGGAGGACCUGAGAGGACCUGACACUACUCUUCCACAGGACUCCUGGAAACACCGGAAACAUACUGGACAGAGAAGGACUGCAAGCUAUGAACUCCCCACUCUUUGUUCAUCCUGAAUAUCAUCGGCUAACUGAUUGUGACACUCAGGACCCCUCUGAAUAUUGCUGCCACCGUCUUCAAGUCAUUUGCCUCCCCUCAUCUGAACCCCAUUAGGCAGGGAAGGCUUUUACACCCUUUAUCAGCAUGAACCAGCUCCAGAAGAUGAGAUCUCCAUCCUUUGUCCCAAAUAAAUAGUCUCAGCAAACUGCUUGAGAGGGGACAUGAUGUAAUCUAGCUUCUAGGGGAGAUGAUAAUAAUUUUAAGGUUCUCUGACCUUAGGGGUUUCUGUUCUAACAAUCUACUAGUGAUUCUAAAUCUCCUGGCUUUGGAACCUGAUCCAGAGGCCCUCUGAUCUAAGAAUGCUGUUGUUCUGUCAGUGAUUAUAAAAGUCCUGUGGCCCAGAAAUAUAAUAAUAUUUUUUCCCUUAGACUUUAGGGAAGAUAUAAUAGUGAUUCUGAGACUAUUGCUCUAACACUCUGUCAGUGAUUUCAAGUCUUCUGGCCUUAGUAUAGUCCUAUAAACAUUACAUUCUGUAGAUCUGGGAUGACCAAAUUUUUGAGAGCACUCCUUGGUUCUACCUCUAGGCCAUAAAAUUAGCAUAUCAUUAACAUGAAGGAUUAGUUAAAUGUGUCACCUUGCUUCUGUUUCUUUGCUAAAUUCCCUUGUAAUUUAGAUUGCUUCUAUUGGCCUUAUAAUUACAAUAAACUUUGUUCCUUGAGUUGGCUAUGGGUUCAAGCUUGCAGAUUCUUUUGAGAUACCUUGCAACACUAGUCUGUGACCCUCCAGCCUUUUGGGUUCUCUUCCCAACCUCAAUAAAGG
This is a long non-coding RNA of Antechinus flavipes (yellow-footed antechinus), 1012 nucleotides long. RefSeq lists it as uncharacterized. The record is from RefSeq and is a predicted model, not a curated record. The transcript is spliced from 3 exons. NCBI's taxonomy places the organism in Eukaryota, Metazoa, Chordata, Mammalia, Dasyuromorphia, Dasyuridae.